CUAAUCGCCAGCGCCGUCCAAUCAACGUACGUCAUCUACGAUUUGCUGCCCUGCAGGUCCAACCUCCCUCCUGGUUUUCCCCUUGGUGAGGAAGGGCAGACCGGAAAAGCAAGGGAGGUUGAGGCCGAAGAGGCGCCAUGUUGGUUAAGGGCACGGCCGUGGCCGUUCAGGACUUUUUCAGAAGAAAGCUAGCAAACCUCGAGCGUUUUCACAUGUUCCAGAAGCCUCUCUUGGCGUAGCACUGAAGGGUUUUUCCAUGACGCUUCCCGGAGAGGCCGGGCGUGAGAAAGCAGCCCUGGGGUCGUAAACUUCGCGGACGUGGCCGUGUACUUCUUCUGGGGGGCUGGGGGUGUCGGCGGCCAGCGCAGAGCGCCCUGUACCGGGACGUGAUGUGGGAGACGUACGGCCGCCUGGGCGCUCUCGGAUUUUUAGGCCCCAAAUCCGCUUUUAUUUCUUGGGUGGAAGGAGAGGUGGAGGCCUAGGAUCCAGAGGGUGAGACCCCAGCAGCUGUCAUCAGAGACGGGGGAAAGGAUCCGGGGAUGACAGUGAGGAAAAAGAACUGAACAAGAGUCCAAAACAGAGAGACGGCGCUUGAGGAAGUGUCUCUCGAGGAGUGGUUACCAUCCAGCAGGCCACCUGGCCCCAGUCACAAAGCCACCUGCCCAGAGCUCUACUGGACUCUGGGCAGAGCCCAAUCUAGCCUUGGUUCAAGGACAGUACAACCCACAAAUCAGCCUACGCUUGCCCAAACUGUGGCCACAACUUCAGCUACCCCUCCCUCCUGGCCAACCUGGGGAGCGGCCCUUCCGGUGUGACCAAUGCCAGGCUCGUCUCUCCCAGUGCAAGCAUCUGCUCCAGCAUCAGCUCUUCCACACAGCAUUCUGCUUUCUGGACUGUAGCUCUCCUGUUCCUCAGAGAUGAGGUCCCCUGGACGCAAGAGCCUAUGGAAGGUGCCUGCACCCUCUCCGAGGACCCUCUGAAAUAGAGGGCACAACUUGGGCCCAUCCCCAGUGGGGGAAGCUCAUCCAAGGAUUCUUUUAGCCAGUGCAGAUAUUCGUAUGUUCUCUGGACUUUAUACCUUCUGAAUAAAGAUGUGUUUUUGGACCACAGCAGGCGGAAACAAAAUGCUGGGACUUUUGUUUAAAAGAAAGAGUAAAUUACCGGUGAUAAGGGUUGAAAUCAACGCCUAGUAUCUCCAGUCUAAUUUUUACUGUAACGUUUGUAUGUGUCAACAGUUAAAAGGUGUCUUUGUGACCCACUUAGAUCUGCUAGCCCUAUUUUCAAUUAGGAAACUCUUGAAGGAAUAAGCAAGGAAGUGGAUGGGACUAAGCAUGUCUGCAUGCCAGGCAUGGUGCCAGGGGAUUCAAAUAGCUCUUUGAACAAAAGACUGCUCUCAAAACCCCUGGGUUCCAAAAAUGAUUAUUUUCUAAAAUGUUUAUGUAUUUUGAGAGAGAGAGAGAGAGAGAGAGAGAGAGAGAGAAAGCAUGUGCAGGGGAGGGGCGGGGGGGGGCGGGGAGAGAAUACAAAGCAGGCUCCACGCUCAGCAGGGAGCCUGACACGGGCUCGACCCAUGACUAACAAUAUCACAACCUGAGCCGACAUCAAGAGUUGGAUGCUUAACUGACGCUUAACCACCCAGGAGCACCCCCCCCCGACCCCCAAAUGAUUAUAACUGGGUGUUAUUUUACCUCACCAUAUAGCCUCUCCUGAAUUGGUAGACCUGGAUUCCAGGUUGGGCUCAGUCCCAACUAGCUAUGGGGCCUUAAGCAUGUCAUUCAACCUUUCUAAGCCUCAGUUGUCUCACUUGUCAACCUCACAGGGUUGUUGGAGAUAAAACGUGAAAGCACCUAGCAUGUCUUCAUAGUCUGAAGUGACUGAGUGCCCUCGUGUCAUUGUAUGACAUUUUUUCAAACAUUCAAAAGAGUUGUAAGAAUUUUAUGGUAAACACUCAUGCCCAUCGUUUAGAUUCCACAAUUAAUCCAGAUUCUACAAUUACGCUUUAUCACAUGUCGAUCCAUCUCUCUAGCCCCUGUCCGUUCAUUUAUGCGUCGUAUUUUAUGUCACAGUAAGUUGCAGACCUCAUUACCCAUCAUUCCUCAGCUCUUCAACAUAAGGCUGAGCUGUACUCAAGAAACUUCGGCGUUCUAACUAAAGCUAUCUCCUGCAUGUUUUAUGAAUUCUCAUAGUCCUAUGUGAUCGAGAUUCUGGAACAACAUGUUAGUGGGUAAUCAAAACAUUUUGAAAGCGAGAGCAUCUUUGUAUUUUUAUGUGUGGCAGGAAAAACAACAUGACCUCAGCCACUUAUGAUGGAGCACAGUUUUAGUCUUGAAGGUGUGUUUCAAUCCGAUUAGUUAACACCCGAGUUUAUUGUUUAGCUCUAUCUCCUUCUUAAGUUUUCUCUAUCCCUCGUGCAAAAAGAAGUGGUUUAUAACAUUGUACAUGAGUACACAAAAGUAUUUUUUGGUCCAGGUGAAAUCCUUUGUAGUUUCUCUUUAGGUAAAGUUGAUUCUCUGCUUGGAAGGAGACUCCUAUCUGGAGGCACAUUUUUCCUUACUCUAUUUCUACACUAUUCAUCACUGAGUGCAGUGAGGCCCCUCCAGGACUCAAGGUUUGUUUUUUUUGUUUUGUUUUGUUUUAAUGUUUAUUUUUGAGGAAGAGAGAGAGAGACAGAGUGAGCAGGGGAGGGGCAGAGAGAGAGGGAGACACAGAAUCCGAAGCAGGAUCCAGCACAGAGCCUGAUACGGGGCUGGAACUCACGAGCCAUGAGAUCACGACCUGAGCCGAAGUCGACGCUUAACCGACUGAGCCAUCCAGGUGCCCCUAAAGUUUAUUUUUUAAAUUAAAAAAAAAAUUCUUGGGGCGCCUGGGUGGCUCAGUCGGUUACGCGUCUGACUCCGGCUCAGGUCGAGAUCUCCCGGUCCGUGAGUUUGAGCCCCACGUCGGGCUCCGUGCCCAUUGCUCGGAACCUGUUUCGGAUUCUGUGCCUGCAGCUCUCUCUGACCCUCUCCCGUCCGCUGUCUGUGCCAAAAAAAUAAAUAAAGAUUAAAAAAAAAAUUAAAAAAAUUCUUUUUAAUGUUUAUUUUUAAGAGAGAGAAACAGAGUGGGGGAGGGGCAGAGAGCGAGAGGAAGACCUAGAAUCUGAAGCAGGCUCCAGGCUCUGAGCUGUCGCACAGAGCCGGACAUGGGGCUCAAACUCGUGAACUGUGAGAUUGUGACCUGAGCCAACGUUGGACACUUAAAUGACUGAGCCACCUAGGCGCUCCCCCGGGACUCAAGUUUAAAAAAAUUAUAAAAUAAGCAAGUAACUGUUGAGGUGAUAUCAGUGGAAGGCACACCAUAAGCCACAAGUAUUCCAGUGAAAACCAGCAAAGGUAGGGCAAGAAAAUACAAACACGGAAAAAGGCACUAGCUUGGACAGCAAUGAAUAAUUUGUGAACACAAGGGCGGGGGGCGGGGACAGCAGGUGCUAGCGCAGGCAGGACAGCCAAGCAAGGAGUGGUUCCAAGACCAGACAGUGGACUGCCGUCAACAGAGAGGAGGGUUUUGUUAAUCCAAGGACCAAAUGGCACCUGCCUGAUUGCAGGAAUAUUCCCAAUGGGAUAAAGCUAUUUAGUAUCUGUAGUCCAAUGCCACAAACCAUUAAGCUGAUCCAUCUUGGCUGAAAAACUAGGAGGAUUUUGAAUCUAGGAGGCAGAGGAUACGAUCCAGGACAGUGGGGAAGUAAGAUCCUGGACGACAGCUAAGGCCCAGUCCAGUU
Long non-coding RNA from Acinonyx jubatus (cheetah), 3757 nucleotides. RefSeq lists it as uncharacterized. The transcript has 5 exons. NCBI's taxonomy places the organism in Eukaryota, Metazoa, Chordata, Mammalia, Carnivora, Felidae. The record is from RefSeq and is a predicted model, not a curated record.